GACAGAGGUGCCGAGCGUUAGGCGGAAUCACUGGGCUUAAAGCGCGUGUAGGUGGCGGCCUAAGUACCUUGUGAAAUCCUGCGGCUCAACCGCAGAACUGCUUGGUAUACUGGGUCGCUUGAGUCAUCCAGGGGCAACUGGAACAAGCGGUGGAGCGGUGAAAUGCGUAGAUAUCGCGUGGAACGCCAAAGGUGAAAACAGGUUGCUGGGGAUGUUCUGACACUGAGACGCGAAAGCCAGGGGAGCGAACGGG
Molecule: ribosomal RNA, 253 nt
Filed under: uncultured bacterium
Lineage: Bacteria
Description: partial 16S ribosomal RNA
Rfam family: Bacterial small subunit ribosomal RNA
Source: RNAcentral